This 76-nucleotide transfer RNA is filed under the name Trueperaceae bacterium. RNAcentral describes it as "tRNA-Thr". It matches the Rfam family "tRNA". Rfam says of the family: Transfer RNA (tRNA) molecules are approximately 80 nucleotides in length. RNAcentral also lists the same sequence under 3 other names. Lineage: Bacteria; Thermotogati; Deinococcota; Deinococci; Trueperales; Trueperaceae. The record is from RNAcentral.
GCCACCCUAGCUCAACUGGUAGAGCAUCCGAUUUGUAAUCGGAAGGUUGUCGGUUCGAUUCCGAUGGGUGGCUCCA